CGACAUCGAGGCGAUGAAGCUCGCCCGUCGUUCGGGACGCCGCCAACCAGCCCGAGAGGGGUUGAUAGCUUCUGCGAGGCC
Molecule: non-coding RNA, 81 nt
Filed under: Anaeromyxobacter sp.
Lineage: Bacteria; Pseudomonadati; Myxococcota; Myxococcia; Myxococcales; Anaeromyxobacteraceae
Description: Fluoride sequence
Rfam family: Fluoride riboswitch aptamer (crcB RNA motif)
Source: RNAcentral